This 810-nucleotide ribosomal RNA is filed under the name Trichocomaceae sp. LM81. Its description in RNAcentral is "SSU rRNA". It matches the Rfam family "Eukaryotic small subunit ribosomal RNA", at positions 26 to 846 of the family's 1831-position model. The record is from RNAcentral. Lineage: Eukaryota; Fungi; Ascomycota; Eurotiomycetes; Eurotiales; Trichocomaceae.
AUAUUGUCUCAAAGAUUAAGCCAUGCAUGUCUAAGUAUAAGCACUUUAUACUGUGAAACUGCGAAUGGCUCAUUAAAUCAGUUAUCGUUUAUUUGAUAGUACCUUACUACAUGGAUACCUGUGGUAAUUCUAGAGCUAAUACAUGCUACAAACCCCGACUUCAGGAAGGGGUGUAUUUAUUAGAUAAAAAACCAACGCCCUUCGGGGCUCCUUGGUGAAUCAUAAUAACUUAACGAAUCGCAUGGCCUUGCGCCGGCGAUGGUUCAUUCAAAUUUCUGCCCUAUCAACUUUCGAUGGUAGGAUAGUGGCCUACCAUGGUGGCAACGGGUAACGGGGAAUUAGGGUUCGAUUCCGGAGAGGGAGCCUGAGAAACGGCUACCACAUCCAAGGAAGGCAGCAGGCGCGCAAAUUACCCAAUCCCGAUACGGGGAGGUAGUGACAAUAAAUACUGAUACGGGGCUCUUUCGGGUCUCGUAAUUGGAAUGAGAACAAUUUAAAUCCCUUAACGAGGAACAAUUGGAGGGCAAGUCUGGUGCCAGCAGCCGCGGUAAUUCCAGCUCCAAUAGCGUAUAUUAAAGUUGUUGCAGUUAAAAAGCUCGUAGUUGAACCUUGGGCCUGGCUGGCCGGUCCGCCUCACCGCGAGUACUGGUCCGGCUGGGCCUUUCCUUCUGGGGAACCUCAUGGCCUUCACUGGCUGUGGGGGGAACCAGGACUUUUACUGUGAAAAAAUUANAGUGUUCAAAGCAGGNCUUUGCUCGAAUACAUUAGCAUGGGAAUAAUAGAAUAAGGACGUGCGGNUCUAUUUUGUUG